UGGGGAAUAUUGCGCAAUGGGGGGAACCCUGACGCAGCCAUGCCGCGUGAAUGAAGAAGGCCUUAGGGUUGUAAAGUUCUUUCGGUAUUGAGGAAGGUUGAUGUGUUAAUAGCACAUCAAAUUGACGUUAAAUACAGAAGAAGCACCGGCUAACUCCGUGCCAGCAGCCGCGGUAAUACGGAGGGUGCGAGCGUUAAUCGGAAUAACUGGGCGUAAAGGGCACGCAGGCGGUUAUUUAAGUGAGGUGUGAAAGCCCCGGGCUUAACCUGGGAAUUGCAUUUCAGACUGGGUAACUAGAGCACUUUAGGGAGGGGUAGAAUUCCACGUGUAGCGGCGAAAUGCGUAGAGAUGUGGAGGAAUACCGAAGGCGAAGGCAGCCCCUUGGGAAUGUACUGACGCUCAUGUCCGAAAGCGUGGGGAGCAAACAGGAUUAGAUACCCUGGUAGUCCACGCUGUAAACGCUGUCGAUUUGGGGGUUGGGGUUUAACUCUGGCGCCCGUAGCUAACGUGAUAAAUCGACCGCCUGGGGAGUACGGCCGCAAGGUUA
This 547-nucleotide ribosomal RNA is filed under the name uncultured bacterium. RNAcentral's name for it is "bacterial SSU rRNA". It matches the Rfam family "Bacterial small subunit ribosomal RNA", at positions 355 to 896 of the family's 1533-position model. The record is from RNAcentral.